AAGACCUUGCGCUUUUGGAGCGGCCGAUGUCUGAUUAGCUUGUUGGUGAGGUAAAAGCUUACCAAGGCUUCGAUCAGUAGCUGGUCUGAGAGGACGGCCAGCCACACUGGGACUGAGACACGGCCCAGACUCCUACGGGAGGCAGCAGUGGGGAAUUUUGGACAAUGGGGGCAACCCUGAUCCAGCCAUGCCGCGUGAGUGAAGAAGGCCUUCGGGUUGUAAAGCUCUUUCAGCCGGAACGAAACGGUUACGGUUAAUACCCGUGACUACUGACGGUACCGGAAGAAGAAGCACCGGCUAACUACGUGCCAGCAGCCGCGGUAAUACGUAGGGUGCAAGCGUUAAUCGGAAUUACUGGGCGUAAAGCGUGCGCAGGUGGUUUUGUAAGUCAGAUGUGAAAGCCCCGGGCUCAACCUGGGAACU
RNAcentral lists this ribosomal RNA (423 nucleotides) under uncultured bacterium. RNAcentral describes it as "bacterial SSU rRNA". It matches the Rfam family "Bacterial small subunit ribosomal RNA", at positions 207 to 622 of the family's 1533-position model. The record is from RNAcentral.